GCGGCUAACUCAGUUGGUAGAGCAUGGGACACUUGAUCCCAGGACCAUGGGAUUGAGCCCCACACUGGGCG
RNAcentral lists this transfer RNA (71 nucleotides) under Pangasianodon hypophthalmus (striped catfish). Its description in RNAcentral is "tRNA-Lys". Lineage: Eukaryota; Metazoa; Chordata; Actinopteri; Siluriformes; Pangasiidae. The record is from RNAcentral.